RNAcentral lists this long non-coding RNA (1738 nucleotides) under Homo sapiens (human). Its description in RNAcentral is "HSALNT0332956". Lineage: Eukaryota; Metazoa; Chordata; Mammalia; Primates; Hominidae. The record is from RNAcentral.
UCCACCCUGGUGUACAGGACCCAAUGGCAAGCCGCUUUAGCUCCUAUCUGGUCCAUGGGGAUAGGUUACAUACCCUUUGCUAGAGAGUGAAGAUGAAUCCCAAUGUCAUUUGGAUCCUGCUUUCAUGGGAUGAUUCAGCUUUCUCAGGCUGAGUCAGGAACCAGUCCUCUGUGUCACAUGCCAUUCUUCUGAUUUUCAUGAAUAUCCUCUAAAAGGCAGCUAAGCACUCGCUGUCUUCUUCCUUUUGCCUCAUCAAGCACGGGGGACGCUGGAAGGAAGAGGCUCCAGGGACCUACCUGACUUCCUAUUCAUGCUGAUCCCACUGAGACCCUUAUCAACCCUGACCUGUUCCCCAUGUGCCUCUUGGAUCUGCCUUAUGUUCCAGGUAAUGAAGCUGAUGCUUAGAGAGGUUGAGUAAUCCACCCAUGUCUCUCUGACCCAGGUCUGACCACCAUACUAUUGCCUGCAGAUGAAGAGGAGCAACAUAUUGUAUCCUGUGUUGCUCAAGAGAGCAGAAUUAGGACUUAGAAUAGCCUUCUAAGAAUUGCUCUGUGCCACCAAAUGGGUGGCAGACUUCUAGACAAGUUUUCUAAACUUGUCAGCCUCAACUACAAGUGAGCUGGUGAGAGAAAACAAACAUCACUAUCCAGGGGCUUUUGCUGGACUUACUGAAUGUAACAGAGAUCGGAUUGGAUUGUCUCUAAUGUCUGUUUCACGAAUAGAGUUCUGUAAAUAGUCUGUCUUUUCUGAAGCCAUUGUAUUUUCAGUAUUAGGUCAUUUAGUUGACUGAAAGUGUGUAUUCUGUAAAGAGAGAAAGGGAUGGGGAGAGAAAGGAGACUGUUACUUUUAUUUUCAUGUCCUUUGCUCUCCCACAUGCAUACUCCACCUCUAGCUCUUACACUCAAACAUCUACACUUGCAGCUUACUGUAGAUGCCACUGUCCUUUUCCACAUUUGCACAAGUAGAUUUCUCACUCCCAACCCUUAUUUUGAAAAUAAGGUGUUUCUACAUCUUUCAUUUUAUUUUUAAAAAUAAAAGUUGGACCACAGUUUAGAUAUAUUAAUCACUUUUCCCAGAACUCAUGUUUGGUCAUCUAAAAGCCUGUGUCUAAAAGUUGUGAGGAAUAGUUGAAGCUUUCAUCAAUGUAAAGGUUGGGUAAUACUCUACUGCCAAAAGUAGUUAAUUAAUUUCUGCAGAGUUAAGGUAGUAGAAAUGGGAGCUCUCAUCUGUUUUGAGAAAUGUGUACAAAAUUAAUGUUUUCCCAGAGAAGCAUUUUCCAAUGUCUCCAUCUAAUUUGGCUCCAUUCUGAAGAGAAGCACAAUGAUGCUUCAGCAACUUGAAAUUUUACUAAGUGAACUAACUAAUCCUGCCUUUGAAACAGUGGACUGGGGCUCAAAAGACAAGCUUCUUAGACUAAUACUGGGCACUUUCUCUUUUCUCACUCUCUCUUUAUUCCCUUUUCUUUCUCCUUCUCUUGUUCCAUCUUUUCACUUUGGAAACUAUUAGGUUUCAAAAAUGCAUCUGUAGCUGUUUAUUUUACAUGUGCCUGAUUUUAUGAGUUUAUGGGCUCCUGAAAAUUAAAUUAAUUUUAAAUGAGCUUUAAUUACUAAUGCUUUGGGCCAUUGCCUUUAACAAAGUCAACAUAACAAUCAGGGUUACCUUAGUUUGUCUCUUUGAAGAAUGUAGUCAUUCAUUUGGGCUCUUAUUGAGCAGAGCAGCUUUCUAACUGGAAAAACAA